Molecule: non-coding RNA, 136 nt
Organism: Triticum urartu
Lineage: Eukaryota; Viridiplantae; Streptophyta; Magnoliopsida; Poales; Poaceae
Source: Rfam
AGGUUACUACCCUCCGUCUCAAAAUUCUUGUUUUAGAUUUGUCUAAAUACGAAUGUAUCAAGUCAUGUUUUAGUAUUAGAUACAUCCGUAUCUAGACUAAUCUAAGACAAGAAUUUUGGGACGGAGGGAGUAUUUU